GUCUGUGAGGAGCAGCCCAGGAUGAGAGCAGACAGCAUACAGAGCACUGCAGACACCAUUGUGUACGUAUACCCUUUUCCCAGUUGGCCCUUUUUAUGGCAACACAUUAAUUAUAAUUACACUUUACAAGACAGGUACUAAUCAUUAUCAUAUGGAGAUAAUAUCUAACAUUAGUCUCUAAUUGAUUCUGCAGAAAUAGUUUGACAUAUCAGAAAUACGUUCGUCCAUUUUUCUAACGCUUAGAUAAGAAGAUUGAUUCCUCCCACAUUGUCUGUCUGUUGAACAAAAAGCUUAGCCUGGUCACAAACAGCUCUGCUUUCCCACCAGCAUUUCUAAACAAAAAAUCAAGAUGUGAAACCUACAUAUUGUGGUUUUACAGGUGAUGCUCGGAGCUCCGACACGAAACCUCCAGUAAAAUGCCAAACUGUCAUUUUUGUCACAUUUGCUUUUGAAACAGAUGAAACUAGUGAGAUAGAACCUGUAGAUUACUGAGGUUUAGAGGUUUGGCCAGAGCCGGACUCUCUGUUUCCCCUUGUUUCCAGUCUAAGACUGUUAUAUAUUUACUGUACAGACAUGACAGUGGUGUCAAUCCUCCCAUGCAUCUUUUGGCAAGAAAGGGAGUGUCAAACUAUUCCUUUAAGGGACAGUAGUUGUCACUCUCAGGAUGAUAGUAUUGCCCACGGUAGCUGAAGGUCCAUUUUUAUUUGUGUCUCGUAUGCAGAACUGGUCUCGGCAUCGCUGUGGCUCCGCCGUCGGUCCCCACCUUGCAAGCUGUCACCAACCCCACCAGCGACAGCCUGCCUCCCCCUCCUCCCCCUGCUUCGGACGUGGACCCCAGUAUGCCUUCUCCUCCACCACCACCUCCCCCUUCCUCCAUGGACAAUGGCCUCCCCCCUCCGCCCACCUUGACCUCACCCACAAGUCUACCCCCACCUCCCCCUCCACCAUCAAAUGGUUUCUACGUGCCUCCGCCUCCCCCCGUAGCAGGAGGUGCCCCAAUUCCUCCUCCACCACCCCCACCUCAAACAUUAUUUGGAGCUGGUACUCUUCCCCCUCCGCCUCCUCCUCCACCAGUGUCAGGAGCCGCGCCGCCUCCUCCUCCUCCUCCUCCACCGCCCCUUCAUACUGGCACAUCAGGUCAAGGAGGCUAUAA
This 1153-nucleotide long non-coding RNA is filed under the name Scophthalmus maximus (turbot). RNAcentral's name for it is "lncRNA (ENSSMAG00000024138.1)". Lineage: Eukaryota; Metazoa; Chordata; Actinopteri; Pleuronectiformes; Scophthalmidae. The record is from RNAcentral.